Long non-coding RNA from Ahaetulla prasina, 3657 nucleotides. RefSeq lists it as uncharacterized. The transcript has 3 exons. The record is from RefSeq and is a predicted model, not a curated record. Lineage: Eukaryota; Metazoa; Chordata; Lepidosauria; Squamata; Colubridae.
CAAGGUUGGAGACCCCCGGAAUAGAAGAUAGAAAACAGUAGUAGUAUAAAAUAAAGGUUUGAAAAAUUGCAUCCAUGAUUUUUAUUUCAUGCAUAUGUCGAAGUGGGUGAAUAUAAGAUGUUUGCCUUAUUUAUUAAAUUUGUUGGCUGCCCAUCUCGCCACAAGGUCACUUUUAUAGUAAUGCAGAGUUGUGAAACUCGCGGCCGCAGGCCAGAUUUGUUACGCACUGGCCACACCCAGUUUAGCAAAGGGGAAAAAAGUCAUGAUACGUCAUGUGAUGACACCGUGACGAUGCAGGUUUGACACCCCUGCAGUAAUGCAUUGAAUUGGAUUAAGUUUUCUUGAUAUUAAGAGAGCUCUGUUAUUCUCUGGUGGCAAAAAAAUCAGAAGUCUGGUAGCACUUUUUUCCACCAACAUUUUAUUAAAAGGCAUCUGUGCAUCUGAUGAAGCAAGCUAUAACUGGUGAAACCUUGCACCUUUUCAUAAAAUAUACAAGUAAGAAACAGUGAUACCAGACUUGAUGUUUUGGUAUAAAAUGAGCUCUUGAAUCAAGUUUACAGUUACACCACCAGGCACUAGAUGGCGACUGAUAACCUGAUACCAGCUGAAGGAAGUAUAUUACUUCUGGUUGAUAGGCUGAACUCAGAGCAAAAAUGCAGUAGGGUAUGCUGUUACAUGUUUCAAAUGUGUGGCUGCUACGGUAGUUUAAUAUGCUUUAUUGUAAACCAGACACAGAAUUGCAAUUUACUUUCCACAUUUUGAUCUCCAACUUAAUGUAUAUUGCUCAUUUUUUCAAGCACAGCACAACUUUUUUAGCUGCUAUGGGGUGUCCCUUUCACAUUCAUUACACAUAAUUUUAGAGUGCCUGUCCUGCCUUAAAUAUGUUCUAUUUUUACUUACUUAUUGCAGGCUAAGUUAAGGUAAGGAAGAUUAUCUUGGUUUCACCACUGGCAGGAAAGCAAUCAAUAAUCACUCUUCUUAAAAUAGGAUAGGACAAGUUUAGAUGAUGCUUAGAGGUGUCUGUCUCACCAUCACUGAAGUUGGUGGAUUAAGAACAGGAGCUGAGGGAAUUUAGUGAAGUCUCUGAGAUGCCUCUGCUUGCAACAACCUUUCUGUGUCUCUUACCUGCUGGGCUAUUUCUGAACUAGGGAUAUAAUGUUCUAUGGAAAGUGUGCUAAAGAUAAGAGGCUUAUUUCUCGUUCGUGAAUUAUUUGAUUUAAUAGUUUAACAGACUGAAGCUUCAAAGGAAACUAAUAUGUUGAUUUUAAAGUUUUGUCCCUGAACUUAAAAGGGCAAGUAUGAAUAUAUAAACAAAUCUACUCCUUCAUUGGGUCCAAGGUUUGCCUACAGAUGCUUGAAACUGCUUGUCUGAUUCCCUAUCUCUCUACAUAAAGGGGCCAUUGCUACUGGGAUAAGAGGAAACACUAUUUCAGAAGUGAAACAGCUGAGCACAAUUUUAAGCAGCCUCAGAUACUGGCUGGGAAUUGCCCAAAGGGAAUGUAAACCUGGUAGAAAAGAGAUUUAUCUGACAUGUUUGUGUCACAGAUACAGGAAGUACUGUAAGGAAGAACCACAUAUCCAUGUAAUGUUCUAAUUGCUGUCUUGAUAUAAACAUAAAAAAUGUUUAGGUAAGUCUGCAGAAGAGGUUAACAAAAGUCAAGAGGAUGAUCGCUGCCAGGAGAUGGAAACAUCAUCUGUGUUUUUUAGACACAGGUUUUGAUUGCAAGGUCAUGACCAUCUUGAUAUUUUUCACACCCUCCUUCCCAGGCCCCUGCAAAGGGCCCUAGCUCUGAUGUUCUCGGUAAUAGGGCUAUGCAGAGCUUUGAAAUCUAUUCCAAUUCUACAGCUUUUAAAAGCGGCUCUGUCUCUUCCUAGGGUUCCAUAGCUGUUCCCAAGAAAGGGUGAGGCUGCUUUAAAGCAAGGCAGAUAGGUCUUACGUUAAUGUUCCAGAGCACCUUUUAUGAAGUACAUCUGAAGCACCGCCAUAAGUGCUGAGAUGCCAAUAACCUUUUACAGUGUUGUAGAAUUGAAUCUACAGCUCAAAGCUAGAGGGAACUUUUGAUGAAUUCGCAUUCCAUUGUUCUCAGUACUCAUGAAAGGCUCACAAUGUUCUCAUUCUCAAGGGUUCCCUCUGCAUAAACCUAAAAUGAGGAAGAGAAAAUAUGGCUUGCAUGUAAAUCACAUCCUGCCCACUGGCUGCCUUAACCACAUCAAGAGCAGAUGUCAUUCCAUUAAAGAGAAUAGGAAGUGUACAUGACCUUGUAUGGAAUAACUUGAGAAAAAAACUGGGGUUUUUUUAGGAUGUAAACUUGUCAUAUCUUUGAAAAUAAGGGAGUUUCUGCAAGAUGACAUCUGAUUUGACAUAACAGGAGUGAUUAACUGCUGACACAUUAGACUCAUACAGAUGUAGGUGCCUGGAGAUCACUUCUCUUUUUUUCUGGACCAGGGUUAUAAAAGAGGAUGCUGCGACCAUCGGAGCAACGAGUCAGACUAUUUUUACACAGUACGUAGUGCAUACAGAGGAUUUCCAUCCUGUUUCUUCAGAUUGACCCUCCCAAGUCUUCGCAGACUGACCCUCCCAAGUCUUCGCCUUCCAGCAUAAGCUCCCGGGAGCAUCAAUUCCUUGUCUAUGUUGCAAAGCGAUUCUUCUAGAUCUCGCUAGUAUACAUUCUGCUCCCAUGGGUAGAGGCCACUCCCAGCUGAAGAACCAAAGUAGAUAUUAUAAUAUCACAAGGAUACAUGCUUCGAUUCCCUUCAUUUUGCUGGUCUUCUCCAACUGUUCAUUGUACAGCUAAAUACCUUCUCUCUGAUGGUUCUCCCAAGAACAAUUCAGCAAAAAAGAAUGCAAAGCCACCUUAAUUUUGAAAUCAACAUUUUCCUCCAAUAAGGAAAUCCCAUCAUACAUUUCUUCUCUGAAGACUUAAGAAUGGAAUCAGGUCUGUCCAAGAAAUUUCAUUCUAUAAAACAGAGCAACAUUUGUGCAAGGAAGAGAAAGCCCACUACAUAAAUAUUGGACCUCAGUUUUGUUUUUUUUUGGCGGCUCAGGCUGUAAGAUAGCCUGUUAUUAAAAACACAGCAGCCUGCAAUUACUGCAGGCUCGAAUCCCACCAGGCCCAAGGUUGACUCAGCCUUCCAUCCUUUAUAAGGUAGGUAAAAUGAGGACCCAGAUUGUUGGGGGGCAAUAAAUUGACUUUGUAAAUAUACAAAUAGAAUGAGACUAUUGCCUUACACACUGUAAGCCGCCCUGAGUCUUCGGAGAAGGGCGGGAUAUAAAUGUAAAUUUUUUAAAAAAAAUUAAUAUAAAAUGUUUAUAUUAAAGAUUAAAAAUUUUUAAUACAAGCAUAUGUACUGUGGUAUAAAGGUAAUCUACAAGUAUACAAGGUAUACUUGGAAAUUCAAAUUAAAGAAGAUUUAUUUCAUUUUUGGAGUAUUCCGCUAAGUAAUAGAAGAAAAAAGUUCAUUUGGAAUAAGACACAGAAGGAAGUCCAUAGCAAUGUUACAAAUGAAGAUAAUUCAGCUGAUGUGGAGCACUGUAGCUGAAGAAAAUGAAAAUGUUCUCAAUCUCUGCAGUUCAGUGUGUCAUGGUUGGGAGAUACUCAAUUCUCUCGUAAAACAAGAGAACUCUUAUCAAUUCAGGUACACUUUUAUUUCUGAUAU